This is a non-coding RNA of Centropristis striata (black sea bass), 72 nucleotides long. NCBI's taxonomy places the organism in Eukaryota, Metazoa, Chordata, Actinopteri, Perciformes, Serranidae. The record is from the annotation of a RefSeq genome assembly.
UCCCUGGUGGUCUAGUGGUUAUGAUUCGGUGCUCUUAUCGCUGCGACCCGGGAUCGACUCCCGGUCAGGGAA